This 678-nucleotide ribosomal RNA is filed under the name Escherichia coli. RNAcentral's name for it is "bacterial SSU rRNA". It matches the Rfam family "Bacterial small subunit ribosomal RNA", at positions 848 to 1526 of the family's 1533-position model. The record is from RNAcentral. Lineage: Bacteria; Pseudomonadati; Pseudomonadota; Gammaproteobacteria; Enterobacterales; Enterobacteriaceae. RNAcentral also lists the same sequence under 1 other name.
GGAGCUAACGCGUUAAGUCGACCGCCUGGGGAGUACGGCCGCAAGGUUAAAACUCAAAUGAAUUGACGGGGGCCCGCACAAGCGGUGGAGCAUGUGGUUUAAUUCGAUGCAACGCGAAGAACCUUACCUGGUCUUGACAUCCACGGAAGUUUUCAGAGAUGAGAAUGUGCCUUCGGGAACCGUGAGACAGGUGCUGCAUGGCUGUCGUCAGCUCGUGUUGUGAAAUGUUGGGUUAAGUCCCGCAACGAGCGCAACCCUUAUCCUUUGUUGCCAGCGGUCCGGCCGGGAACUCAAAGGAGACUGCCAGUGAUAAACUGGAGGAAGGUGGGGAUGACGUCAAGUCAUCAUGGCCCUUACGACCAGGGCUACACACGUGCUACAAUGGCGCAUACAAAGAGAAGCGACCUCGCGAGAGCAAGCGGACCUCAUAAAGUGCGUCGUAGUCCGGAUUGGAGUCUGCAACUCGACUCCAUGAAGUCGGAAUCGCUAGUAAUCGUGGAUCAGAAUGCCACGGUGAAUACGUUCCCGGGCCUUGUACACACCGCCCGUCACACCAUGGGAGUGGGUUGCAAAAGAAGUAGGUAGCUUAACCUUCGGGAGGGCGCUUACCACUUUGUGAUUCAUGACUGGGGUGAAGUCGUAACAAGGUAACCGUAGGGGAACCUGCGGUUGGAUCAC